CAAAGGAGCGAUCCGGUGACGGAUGGGCAUGCGCCGCAUUAGUUAGUUGGCGGUGUAACGGACCACCAAGACGACGAUGCGUAGGGGUUCUGAGAGGAAGGUCCCCCACACUGGUACUGAGACACGGACCAGACUCCUACGGGAGGCAGCAGUGAGGAAUAUUGGUCAAUGGGCGAGAGCCUGAACCAGCCAAGUCGCGUGAGGGAAGACGGUCCUAUGGAUUGUAAACCUCUUUUGCCGGGGAGCAAAAAGCGGUACGUGUACCGCAUCGAGAGUACCCGGAGAAAAAGCAUCGGCUAACUCCGUGCCAGCAGCCGCGGUAAUACGGAGGAUGCGAGCGUUAUCCGGAUUUAUUGGGUUUAAAGGGUGCGCAGGCGGCGAGUUAAGUCAGCGGUAAAAUUUCGGGGCUCAACCCCGACAAGCCGUUGAAACUGGCUUGCUAGAGUGGGCGAGAAGUAUGCGGAAUGCGUGGUGUAGCGGUGAAAUGCAUAGAUAUCACGCAGAACUCCGAUUGCGAAGGCAGCAUACCGGCGCCCAACUGACGCUCAGGCACGAAAGCGUGGGUAUCGAACAGGAUUAGAUACCCUGGUAGUCCACGCAGUAAACGAUGAGCACUAAUUGUCCGGUCCGAAUGAGGGCUGG
RNAcentral lists this ribosomal RNA (642 nucleotides) under uncultured bacterium. RNAcentral's name for it is "bacterial SSU rRNA". It matches the Rfam family "Bacterial small subunit ribosomal RNA", at positions 202 to 842 of the family's 1533-position model. The record is from RNAcentral.